GAUGAACGCUGGCGGCGUGCCUAAUACAUGCAAGUAGAACGCUGAAGCUUGGUGUUUGCACCGAGCGGAUGAGUUGCGAACGGGUGAGUAACGCGUAGGUAACCUGCCUCUUAGCGGGGGAUAACUAUUGGAAACGAUAGCUAAUACCGCAUAAAAGUCGAUAUCGCAUGAUAUUGAUUUGAAAGGUGCAAUUGCAUCACUAAGAGAUGGACCUGCGUUGUAUUAGCUAGUUGGUGAGGUAACGGCUCACCAAGGCAACGAUACAUAGCCGACCUGAGAGGGUGAUCGGCCACACUGGGACUGAGACACGGCCCAGACUCCUACGGGAGGCAGCAGUAGGGAAUCUUCGGCAAUGGGGGCAACCCUGACCGAGCAACGCCGCGUGAGUGAAGAAGGUUUUCGGAUCGUAAAGCUCUGUUGUAAGAGAAGAACGAGUGUGAGAGUGGAAAGUUCACACUGUGACGGUAACUUACCAGAAAGGGACGGCUAACUACGUG
This 497-nucleotide ribosomal RNA is filed under the name uncultured bacterium. RNAcentral's name for it is "partial 16S ribosomal RNA". It matches the Rfam family "Bacterial small subunit ribosomal RNA", at positions 28 to 507 of the family's 1533-position model. The record is from RNAcentral.